GAUGCUAAUACCGGAUAACAACACUAGACGCAUGUCUAGAGUUUAAAAGAUGGUUCUGCUAUCACUCUUGGAUGGACCUGCGGUGCAUUAGCUAGUUGGUAAGGCAACGGCUUACCAAGGCAAUGAUGCAUAGCCGAGUUGAGAGACUGAUCGGCCACAUUGGGACUGAGACACGGCCCAAACUCCUACGGGAGGGCAGCAGAC
This 204-nucleotide ribosomal RNA is filed under the name uncultured bacterium. RNAcentral describes it as "partial 16S ribosomal RNA". It matches the Rfam family "Bacterial small subunit ribosomal RNA", at positions 159 to 357 of the family's 1533-position model. The record is from RNAcentral.